This is a non-coding RNA of Aspergillus tanneri, 127 nucleotides long. NCBI's taxonomy places the organism in Eukaryota, Fungi, Ascomycota, Eurotiomycetes, Eurotiales, Aspergillaceae. The record is from the annotation of a RefSeq genome assembly.
GCCCUUAUAGCUCAGUGGUAGAGCGCUUGAGUAAGUCCUAGUACACGACUAUAUAUCAUUGGCGAUAUAACUAACAAUAAAUCAGCUUGUAAUCAAGAGGUCCAUAGUUCAAUCCUGUGUGGGGGCA